UAAUAUCUUGACCAUGGACCUUGAUCUC
RNAcentral lists this non-coding RNA (28 nucleotides) under Mus musculus (house mouse). Lineage: Eukaryota; Metazoa; Chordata; Mammalia; Rodentia; Muridae. The record is from RNAcentral.